This 253-nucleotide ribosomal RNA is filed under the name uncultured bacterium. RNAcentral's name for it is "partial 16S ribosomal RNA". It matches the Rfam family "Bacterial small subunit ribosomal RNA", at positions 524 to 776 of the family's 1533-position model. The record is from RNAcentral.
UACGGGGGGGGCAAGCGUUGUUCGGAAUUACUGGGCGUAAAGGGCUCGUAGGCGGCCAACUAAGUCCGACGUGAAAUCCCAAGGCUUAACCUUGGAACUGCGUCGGAUACUGGAUGGCUUGAAUUCGGGAGAGGGAUGCAGAAUUCCAGGUGUAGCGGUGAAAUGCGUAGAUAUCAGGAAGAACACCCGUGGCGAAGGCGGCUCUCUGGGACGGUACUGACGCUGAGACGCGAAAGCGUGGGGAGCGAACAGG